Long non-coding RNA from Saccostrea echinata, 1064 nucleotides. RefSeq lists it as uncharacterized. The record is from RefSeq and is a predicted model, not a curated record. The transcript has 3 exons. Lineage: Eukaryota; Metazoa; Mollusca; Bivalvia; Ostreida; Ostreidae.
UAUGCAUGUUGUGUAUUUGACAUUUGUUGUGUGAAUGUUUGACUCUUGGAUAAGCUUAACACAUAUUAGCAGAAAAUCAGAGGGAUUAGGGAAAUAUCAAAGCGAUUAUCCAUGACUACCACACGGCUUUUUGUCAAUAAUGUUCUGAGCGGGUGUUCGCCUGACAGGAGAAGCAUGUUCACGCGCCGGAAACAGUUGUCUCAACCGGAAGCAGUAAAAGUCGUUAUUUCGGCUACUUUAAAUACAGUCUUCAUGAGUCACAUUGCAAAGUGGACCCAGAAGAUUCAGAAGAAAAAAGUCUAAGAAAGAAGAAUUGCUCAAUAGUAAGCAUGUUAAGAAGUAUUAAAGUGCCUGUCUUACACGUGUUUUUGAUCCUUGUUCAGUGCUUAACAUCUCACCGGACUUACUUCCUGUCUAUCGCUGGAAACAACAGAGAACAUAAGGAUAAUGUUAGCAGUAGUAGUAAGUUUAAAUACGUCCAUUUAACGGGGGAAAAUUUUGCUAUACUCUACCACUUUAACUUCUUAAUGUAGAUAUAUAUAUAUAUAAACUAUUUAAUCUGCAAAGAUUAAAAUAAAUGUGCCUAUAUCCUUUAAACUACGAAAUAUUUUGCAAAACUUGUAUCUUGAAAUUUGUGAUUUAGGAACUGAACAAGAUGAUCUUUUAUGUUUUUUUUUAGUGAUACACAGUGUUGUUUUUUGCAUCAAAAGGAAAUAUUUGAUAACAUUACCCAUUUAUGAAACGUCCCAAAUCGUUUCAUUAUUAUUGUAUAAAGAAGUUUCAAGAGAGAUUUGAUAUGAUUUGAGUAUAAAUCUCCUAAAUAUCAUACCCAGUAAUAUUCUUUCCCAAAUUUAGAUUAUCAUGUAAGACUACUACAUAUAUUUUAUAUUGUAUGUUAACAUUACCAAGCGAGUUCUCCCCGUAUUAAAAUAGUUUGUUUAUUUGUUUAUAUGCAUAUGAUUCUGUGUUCAUCGCAAUGUUUCGCCUGUGUUUUUUUUGUUACAAUGUCAUUUUUCUUAUAUUCAUAUUUCCUUCAUGAUAUUUUGUAAAGAAAGAAAAUUAAA